RNAcentral lists this small nuclear RNA (22 nucleotides) under Arabidopsis thaliana (thale cress). RNAcentral describes it as "snRNA_02097". Lineage: Eukaryota; Viridiplantae; Streptophyta; Magnoliopsida; Brassicales; Brassicaceae. The record is from RNAcentral.
AUUUGGCGCUCUAUUUUAGUGA